AUACGAAGGGUGCAAGCGUUACUCGGAAUUACUGGGCGUAAAGCGUGCGUAGGUGGUUCGUUAAGUCUGAUGUGAAAGCCCUGGGCUCAACCUGGGAAUUGCAUUGGAUACUGGCGGGCUAGAGUGCGGUAGAGGAUGGCGGAAUUCCCGGUGUAGCAGUGAAAUGCGUAGAGAUCGGGAGGAACAUCCGUGGCGAAGGCGGCCAUCUGGACCAGCACUGACACUGAGGCACGAAAGCGUGGGGAGCAAACAGGAUUAGAUACCCUGGUAGUCCACGCCCUAAACGAUGCGAACUGGAUGUUGGGUGCAACUAGGCACUCAGUAUCGAAGCUAACGCGUUAAGUUCGCCGCCUGGGGAGUACGGUCGCAAGACUGAA
RNAcentral lists this ribosomal RNA (377 nucleotides) under uncultured bacterium. RNAcentral describes it as "bacterial SSU rRNA". It matches the Rfam family "Bacterial small subunit ribosomal RNA", at positions 523 to 898 of the family's 1533-position model. The record is from RNAcentral.